This is a non-coding RNA of Acanthosepion pharaonis, 114 nucleotides long. Lineage: Eukaryota; Metazoa; Mollusca; Cephalopoda; Sepiida; Sepiidae. The record is from the annotation of a GenBank genome assembly.
UUACGACCAUAUCACGUUGAAACAACGAUUCUCGUACGAUCACUGGAGUUAAGCAAAAUCGAGCCUGGUCAGUAACUAGAUGGGUGAGCUCUUAGGAAUACCAAGGGUUGUAAG